Molecule: ribosomal RNA, 253 nt
Filed under: uncultured bacterium
Lineage: Bacteria
Description: partial 16S ribosomal RNA
Rfam family: Bacterial small subunit ribosomal RNA
Source: RNAcentral
UACGGAGGGUGCGAGCGUUAAUCGGAAUUACUGGGCGUAAAGCGCGCGUAGGCGGUUUGUUAAGCGAGUUGUGAAAGGCCUGGGCUCAACCUGGGAAUGGCAAUUCGAACUGGCAAGCUGGAGUGUGGUAGAGGGUAGUGGAAUUUCCGGUGUAGCGGUGAAAUGCGUAGAUAUCGGAAGGAACACCAGUGGCGAAGGCGGCUACCUGGACUGACACUGACGCUGAGGUGCGAAAGCGUGGGGAGCAAACAGG